RNAcentral lists this ribosomal RNA (864 nucleotides) under uncultured bacterium. Its description in RNAcentral is "bacterial SSU rRNA". It matches the Rfam family "Bacterial small subunit ribosomal RNA", at positions 62 to 897 of the family's 1533-position model. The record is from RNAcentral.
UCGAACGAGANUCGACGGGUGGUAACACCGGUUGAUUCUAGUGGCGAAAGGGUGAGUAACACGUGGGUAAUUUGCCCUGAAGUUGGGGAUAACUCAUUGAAAGGUGAGCUAAUACCGAAUGUGCAUGCCCGAGAGCAUUCUCGGGUGUGCGAAGCUGGGGACCGCAAGGCCUGGCGCUUCAGGAUAAGCCCGCGCCCUAUCAGCUUGUUGGCGGGGUAACGGCCCACCAAGGCGAUGACGGGUAGCUGGUUUGAGAGGAUGGUCAGCCACACUGGAACUGAGUCACGGUCCAGACACCUACGGGUGGCAGCAGUCGAGAAUCAUUCACAAUGGGCGAAAGCCUGAUGGUGCGACGCCGCGUGGGGGAUGAAGGUCCUAGGAUCGUAAACCCCUGUCAUUCACAAACAAACCGUUCCGGUGAACAGCCGGGACGCUGAUAGUCGUGGAAGAGGAAGGGACGGCUAACUCCGUGCCAGCAGCCGCGGUAAUACGGGGGUCCCAAGCGUUGUUCGGAUUUACCGGGCGUAAAGAGUGCGUAGGCGGCGGGAUCAGUUUGGCGUGAAAGCUUCGGGCUCAACCCGGAAAAUGCGCUGAAUACUAUCCCGCUCGAGGAUCGGAGAGGAGACCGGAAUUCUUGGUGUAGCAGUGAAAUGCGUAGAUAUCAAGAGGAGCACCGAUGGCGAAGGCAGGUCUCUGGACGACUCCUGACGCUGANGCACGAAAGCUAGGGGAGCGAACAGGAUUAGAUACCCUGGUAGUCCUAGCCGUAAACGGUGCGCAUUUGCUGUGGGCGGAUUCGACCCCGUCCGUGGCGAANCUAACGCGUUAAAUGCGCCGCCUGGGGGAGUACGGUCNNNAGGCUAA